UACGUAGGGGGCAAGCGUUGUCCGGAAUCAUUGGGCGUAAAGAGCGCGUAGGCGGCCCGAUAAGUCCGCUGUGAAAGUCAAGGGCUCAACCCUUGAAUGCCGGUGGAUACUGUCGGGCUAGAGUCCGGAAGAGGCAAGUGGAAUUCCUGGUGUAGCGGUGAAAUGCGCAGAUAUCAGGAGGAACACCGGUGGCGAAGGCGGGUCUCUGGGCAAUUCCUGACGCUGAGGCGCGAAAGCGUGGGGAGCAAACGGG
This 253-nucleotide ribosomal RNA is filed under the name uncultured bacterium. RNAcentral describes it as "partial 16S ribosomal RNA". It matches the Rfam family "Bacterial small subunit ribosomal RNA", at positions 524 to 776 of the family's 1533-position model. The record is from RNAcentral.